GGAUGUGAUCAUACCAGUACUAAACCACUGGAUCCCAUCAGAACUCCGAAGUUAAGCGUGCUUGGGUGAGACUAGUACUAGGAUGGGUGACCUCCUGCGAAGUCCUCGUGUUGCAUUCC
Molecule: non-coding RNA, 119 nt
Organism: Triticum aestivum (bread wheat)
Lineage: Eukaryota; Viridiplantae; Streptophyta; Magnoliopsida; Poales; Poaceae
Source: Rfam